RNAcentral lists this long non-coding RNA (1019 nucleotides) under Homo sapiens (human). Its description in RNAcentral is "HSALNT0127616". The record is from RNAcentral. Lineage: Eukaryota; Metazoa; Chordata; Mammalia; Primates; Hominidae.
AAACAUUUCUUCACCUCAGAAAGCAGAGUUGUUUCCAGUUGCCAGCUUCUUUCCACAUUCUCAGAUCAGCCUCAUUGUGCUACCUAGAAAGCCCUUCUUAAAUGUCUGAAUCCAAGACUUGCGGGGGAUUCCUCCUCUGAGCAAAUGGAGCAUUAGUAGCAGUCAGAGAUGCCAUCUUCUCAGAGCUCUGCAGAGGAGCCAUUGAAGAAUACUGUUGUCCUAUCCCAGAAGGAGCAAGCGGACAACACUGAUAUCCUGACCACUAACCAUCCAGCACCACUUAAAGUUUUAAAAAGAAUAACAGAAAGAAAGAAGUGGCUGAAACCUAAAUGCCAUAUGGAGAAGACAGCUAAUUGCCACACUCUCCUCUUUGGUCUUUCCUGGUACGCAGCAUACAAGCCCACAGAUUGAGGACUCUGCACUUGCUGUUCUCUCUGCCUGGAGCUCUAUGGCUCCAGAUAGACUCCUGCCAACUCCUUCGCCUUGUCCAAGUUACCUUCAUUAAAUGUCAGCUUAAAUGUGUGCCUACUUUUUGCCCUACCUAGAAUUGCAAGCACCUCUCACCACUGUGCUCCCAUUCUCCUUAACUUAAGCCACUUUUAUUCUCAUAAUAAAGCCACAUAUUUUUUCUUAUUAUAUCAUAAUCGUACUGUAUAAUUUAUAUUUUAUUACUUUUGUUUGUAUACUUAUUGUAUGUUUCUGUUCACAAGGAUGUAAACCCCAUGAACACAGAGAUCUUUGAUUGUUUUAUUCACUGAUUUAUGCCAAAUGUUUGGAACAAUGCCUGGCACAUAGUAGAUGUUUGAUAAUUUUUUUUUUUUCUGAAUGAAUAAAUACAUUUUAGCCAAAUAUGCUGACUCUGCUUGUUUGGUUAUAUUUAUGUGUGUGUGAAUGUAUGUGCAGAAAAAGAAGAAAUUAGUUAAUACCAAAUCUAUAAAAUGGGAAAAAUAAUGCUUACCUUAUAGUGUUGUUAUGAAACUCAACUAAUAUAAGAUAUGUGAAGGGUCUAGCAUAAAAUG